UGGGGAAUUUUGGACAAUGGGGGCAACCCUGAUCCAGCCAUGCCGCGUGAGUGAAGAAGGCCUUCGGGUUGUAAAGCUCUUUCGGGCGGAAAGAAAUCGGCGAGGCUAAUACCUUCGCUGGAUGACGGUACCGCAAGAAGAAGCACCGGCUAACUACGUGCCAGCAGCCGCGGUAAUACGUAGGGUGCGAGCGUUAAUCGGAAUUACUGGGCGUAAAGCGUGCGCAGGCGGUUGUGUAAGACAGGUGUGAAAUCCCCGGGCUUAACCUGGGAACUGCGCUUGUGACUGCACGGCUAGAGUACGGCAGAGGGGGGUGGAAUUCCUGGUGUAGCAGUGAAAUGCGUAGAUAUCAGGAGGAACACCGAUGGCGAAGGCAGCCCCCUGGGCCUGUACUGACGCUCAUGCACGAAAGCGUGGGGAGCAAACAGG
This 429-nucleotide ribosomal RNA is filed under the name uncultured bacterium. RNAcentral's name for it is "bacterial SSU rRNA". It matches the Rfam family "Bacterial small subunit ribosomal RNA", at positions 355 to 776 of the family's 1533-position model. The record is from RNAcentral.